ACAUUUGAGAGUUUAAUAUUGCGUGUAGCAUGUUCACUGGUGUGGAAUUUAUAAACUAUGUCUAAAAAUAGCUGAAAACAGUACGACAAUGUUCUAUUUUCGCCGUUCUGUCAAAAAAAGGAUUUUAACUGUAGAAGAUUCAUACCAUUUGAUGCCAAGUGUACAAUAAAAACUGAAAUGAAAAUUGACAGCAGAAGUGUCAUGGUCUCGGUGGAAAAUGCUGUGCUCUUCAUUGACCUCUGUUUAAUAAUGGCUUAUGAUAAAAAAACUACCAGGAAUGCUUCAGGAUGGCAAUGGAGGGCAGUGUAAAAGACACUGAGAAAUCACAAUGUUUCAAACAUCUAGAAUAUGCCCAGAGUCAGUCUUCAAGAUACUCACCUUAAAGGUUCCAGUGUGAUUUAGGAGACUUUGUCAGAACAGUACAUUAUACCUACAUACACUGGAGAUACCAGACCCAACAGAUAAUAACUACAGAUAUAUUUAAACACGGUUAAAUAGGCAGUGAGGCAUUUGUGUGUAAUCUUCAUUUAAUAUUUGAAAUUUCUUUUUCCUUUUUUUAAGUUUGAUUUUGCAUUUAAAAGCCAUUAGCAUUAGAUUUUUCAAAAAUAUAUGUAUUUUUAUACAGUUUCAACUGUGAUGUAUAUCCAGUUGUACAUGUUUCCUCUAAGGAUUAAAACACUUUUGAAUUAUAUAGGAAAAUUGAAAUGAUACAUUUAUUCAAAUUUAUGAUAAAAUAUAAAACACACACUACCAUUGUUGAUCAUGUAAACCUUUAUACUAUCUUUUAUAGAAAUUAUGUGAAUCUUUUGAUAUUUCUAAAUACAUUUAUUUUUACUUUUACUGGCUCAUGUUUAAACACAGAAUGCUAUAUAAAGUGUAUACUCCAGUGUAUAUCAUAACAUGAUUGAAAUAGAUAAUAGAUAAUAUUUGCAUGAAACUCUGAAUACUUAACCACUAUGGCAAUCUGCACCAGUUAAGAUACUUUUUGUUGAAUAAUGUGUUUUGAUGAGACCAGCUUGUAAAAUAGCUGUAUUUCUUUUAGUCAUUUUGUGAAUACCUGAAUUAUCCUCGGGAUCUAUCUCAGUCAUACAGAUCCCAAGUACCGGUUAGGGCAAUGUGUCAUGUACCGCAUCAGGGGAAUCGGGUCAGCAGUGCAGAGAAUUGGGCAUUAAAAUGUUGCUAUUGGUUCGCCACGUCCAGGAUCGGGUGUUAACUUAGGGUUUUUACCUUGACUCCGACAAUGGACCGCGAGCUAUGGGGCAGAAUACGCGGGGGAAUAUGACCCCUGUGGGUGAUUGCAUGGUUCUAUGGGUUUAUAUAAUCUGAGGGGAGAUAUCUGAGUUUCACACCUGUAGGUAGUGGUUAAGACACAUGUUAGGGGAUUACUUAUAUUCCUACGACUCUACCGGCUGGGUUGAACUUGAACUUAUCGGAUUUUCUGGUAACACCAGGAGGCCGACCAAGGGAAUUGGAGGUGGCCAAGCCCUAAUAGGAAUUCGUAAGAGUACGCACGAAGGGGGAGAUUUGACGUGGUUCAUAAUGACAAGAUGGUUGAACCUGAAUCAUGCAGCCCCGGGGGCGAAAGUUAGGAAGGCCCAAGUUAGAUAAACCGUGGGGGUAAAGUUUGAUGGUCCUCUAAUUGGAAAGUAUUUGAAGUCUGAGAGGCGGGUAGCUAGGUUUGUUUGUGCAAAUAAUGCCAAUUUGUCGGUCAAAUGGUUAGCUCAGAGAGGUAGAAAUGCUUCCUCUGGUAGUAACUUCGAGAGAGGUGGGGCACGUUCGGGGGUCCGUCCUUUUGGAAAAGGGAUGGGUGCUUUAUCUGUCGUACAAGAGUAGAGAUUUCAUUUUUGCCGAGGCCCAAAAUAAAGUUCAGAGAAUUCUCCCAGGUAACGUUUGGCCAAACAGGCUGUUUCUGUGUCUGAUCCACGCCUGGUACAGGUUCAACCAUUCGUUGUCAUGGUAUCUCUAACUGAAAAUGGGGCAAAUAUGAAGGUUAAGGUGCCUAAUUCAGAGAAUGAUGUAGUCACACCGCCGGUGGGGUCUGCAGAGUCCGCACUCUUAGAGGGAGGGCAAUGAGGGUCAUUAUUGGUGGUAGAUUUGCCUGGGGGAAGUUUCCCAAAGACGGGUAAUAAAUCAAAUUGGGGGGCGGGGUGAGACCAGUUCUUGUCUCCCUCGGUUGGCAAAAGCAACUCAAGUGCCAUAUCUGUGGUUGCAUAUUGUUUUUAAUUAUAAAUUAUUUAAGUGGCCAUUCCUCAACUACCGAUUAUUCUAACAAUGCAUUUAGGUCCUCUCGAACAUAUAGAAAAUAUACAAACAUAAUCUAUACAGGUACAAUGAACAUGAACAUUUUCAAUCAUUUAAAAUGCGAACAUUUGGUAGGCAGCAGAGAUUAUUGUUGAAUUAUAACCUACAUUUUCAGUCUUUGAAAGACUAGUCGUUAUUAAGAUUUGUAGUUUAACAAUUUUACAGAAAUGACAUUUAAUUUGGUUCCCCGCCUUCUCAAAUUGGGUCUAAGACAUUUACAACAUAUAAGAUACAAUCUCAAAGAUCAAGCUGGGCGGAGAAAGCGAAACAGGUUAUACACCAGGGGCGUAGCUAGCCCUUUAUUCAUGUGGAUUCAUAUAAUUAUGCAAGGGGGGGGGGGUCCAGGGACAUGCCCCCUCGGAUUAUUUUGAAAACCAUGGUGCAGUCUUGUGCAUUCUGGGCGUUCUGAGUUGCUUUACUUAGGACUAGAAAAUGGACGGUUUUAGAAUCAUGUAGUCAAGUACGCAUACUGCAAUUUUGGCUGUUUUUUUGUCAGAAUCAUGUGUAUUCAGCCGCGUACUCGCGUAUAGGCAGCUACGCGCCUUUUAGCUAUAAGAUAUUUUAAACAUGUUGGGUAAAAUCUUGAAACUUAGUACGACUAGCUCGCCUCGCCCGUUCCUCCUUUCCUUAUUUUUUUACCUAAUUUGUUUGUUUACUUAACACUUACACUGUGCUGGUUUUCCAUUUUUCCUCAAUCUAUCCCAAUUCAGGGCAGUAUUGCUUGUCCUUGUGAGCACUUGAAAAGACUAGGAGUGAUAACGUGAAAACAAUGGACGAAAAAGAUUUCGUUUGAUAAAAUGCACAUUAGUUUGGCUUUGUGUAAUAUAAUAUAAGCCAAGUCAUCGGAUGAUUCAUUUAAUAGCAUUAUUUCUUGUUUGUUCUGACAGACAAGCUUUUGGUUUAAAGGAACUCGUUUAUGUUCGUCGAGUCAGGCAUCGAAACAAAUCAUUUUGUUAAAAUGUAAAUAAAACGUUUGUUACAAUGAUAACACAUUAUUCGGAACACCCCGGUCAUUUUCCAUCGAAAACAACCUAGGUUACAUGCCGGUACAUCAGUAGAAGUAGUUAGUAUUUUUUUAGAUAAUAGUAUUAAUCAUUUAUAGUAGUUUAAAUCCUAGUUUGAAAUGCUUGCCAGUGAUGUGUAUUGUUGCAUACAUAAUUGAGAUUCCUAAGAGUAAAGUCACAAAGUUGAAUUGCUAAAUUAAAAUUACUACGCGAUCUACUUGCAGCGUAGUAAAAUGUAAAGGUUUUUGACAUCGUAAACCGUCCAAAUACAUCCGAGGUUGUUUUCGAUGAAAAUUGGCCGAGGUGCUCCGAAUGUAUCAAACGUGAUAAACAGUGCUCUGCUGUUAAUACUAAUUGAAUCACGUUACAGAAAAAAGUUAUGUUGGACCAAAAUAUGUUAAUAACCUCUGAAAAUAUAUUUAUUUUAAACUUAUUAAACCUAUUAAAAUUGAAUUGUCUUAUGUUUGAAUUUAGAAUAUUUUGCUCAAACGGGUAUCUGCGAGUUGCUGUUUGGUGGUUGUACAUAAAAGUUAGUAAUACGACUAAAUUUCAACAGUAAAACAAUAUAUGAGUGAGUGCCUUUAAAAAAGAAAAAAAACUGUCUUACAAAAAAUUAGGGAUAAAAGAAUCGAGAGGUUAGUUGUGUUAUGCGAACUCUGUCUUAUGUUCCAUUAUGUUCAGUUCGUUGUAUGGUUUGUGUUAUUUUCCUUAUUGCAACAGAACAUGCAGAACGAAUAUUUGUAACAUAGAACAAUGUUAGCACUGAAUACAUUUAUAACAAAAAUAGCUUUUCAAACGUUUAUCAUACUUACGCAUCACAUUGCCGAUACUAUAUCGUCUGAAAAUUAAAAAUUAAUUGUUUGGGGUUUCAAUCAGUAGAUCAUUGUCAGAAGACAUUUAGGCACCCAAUUCUGAAGAUCAUUGUCAGAAAACGUUAAC
Mya arenaria is the source of this 4244-nucleotide long non-coding RNA. RefSeq lists it as uncharacterized. The record is from RefSeq and is a predicted model, not a curated record. The transcript is spliced from 4 exons. NCBI's taxonomy places the organism in Eukaryota, Metazoa, Mollusca, Bivalvia, Myida, Myidae.